CGAAAUCUCAUAAAAAAUCCACGACAAUACUAUAGAUAUACCAAUAUAAUGCCGUAACGUUACGUACGAAUGGAACUUUGUCUAUUACUUUAUAGCAUACAUAUUAGGGUGAGUUAAAAAAAUUUUUUUUUAUUUUCUUGGCAUGGGGGCAGAAUUUGUACCUUACAAAAAAAGAAAAUUUUUCAAAUGUGGAAAAAAUUUUGUACUUGAUAUUUUGAGGUAGCCCACUCGUUUUUUGGAUAAAUAAUUAAUCAAGUGGGGUACUUCCAGCAAUAAAAUCUUUUUUUUUU
This 290-nucleotide unclassified non-coding RNA is filed under the name Athalia rosae (coleseed sawfly). RNAcentral's name for it is "misc RNA ENSAEAG00005012981.1". Lineage: Eukaryota; Metazoa; Arthropoda; Insecta; Hymenoptera; Athaliidae. The record is from RNAcentral.